Molecule: ribosomal RNA, 506 nt
Filed under: uncultured bacterium
Lineage: Bacteria
Description: partial 16S ribosomal RNA
Rfam family: Bacterial small subunit ribosomal RNA
Source: RNAcentral
AUUGAACGCUGGCGGCAGGCCUAACACAUGCAAGUCGAACGGUAACAGGAAACAGCUUGCUGUUUCGCUGACGAGUGGCGGACGGGUGAGUAAUGUCUGGGAGACUGCCUGAUGGAGGGGGAUAACUACUGGAAACGGUAGCUAAUACCGCAUAACGUCGCAAGACCAAAGAGGGGGACCUUCGGGCCUCUUGCCAUCGGAUGUGCCCAGAUGGGAUUAGCUAGUAGGUGGGGUAACGGCUCACCUAGGCGACGAUCCCUAGCUGGUCUGAGAGGAUGACCAGCCACACUGGAACUGAGACACGGUCCAGACUCCUACGGGAGGCAGCAGUGGGGAAUAUUGCACAAUGGGCGCAAGCCUGAUGCAGCCAUGCCGCGUGUAUGAAGAAGGCCUUCGGGUUGUAAAGUACUUUCAGCGGGGAGGAAGGGAGUAAAGUUAAUACCUUUGUUCAUUGACGUUACCCGCAGAAGAAGCACCGGCUAACUCCGUGCCAGCCGCCGCCGUAA